Molecule: ribosomal RNA, 253 nt
Filed under: uncultured bacterium
Lineage: Bacteria
Description: partial 16S ribosomal RNA
Rfam family: Bacterial small subunit ribosomal RNA
Source: RNAcentral
UACAGAGGUCUCAAGCGUUGUUCGGAAUCACUGGGCGUAAAGGGUGCGUAGGCCGCACGGAAAGUCAGAGGUGAAAUCCCGGAGCUCAACUCCGGAAUUGCCUCCGAUACUCCCGUGCUUGAGGACUGGAGAGGAGUCUGGAAUUCACAGUGGAGCAGUGAAAUGCGUAGAUAUCAAGUGGAACACCAGUGGCGAAGGCGAGUCCCUGGACAACUCCUGACACUGAGGCACGAAAGCUAGGGGAGCAAACAGG